Molecule: long non-coding RNA, 949 nt
Filed under: Gallus gallus (chicken)
Lineage: Eukaryota; Metazoa; Chordata; Aves; Galliformes; Phasianidae
Description: long non-coding RNA NONGGAT002808
Source: RNAcentral
ACCUCAGUUUCCUUUCAGGGCUCGAUUUUGGACUUGGGGAAAAGCAUGCUCAGUCCCAAGCCUCCAGGCUCACUGGGCCUGGACAGGAACCACUCUUUAGAUGCUGAGAGCAGCAUCUUCCCAAACAGCUGACUGAUCUGCAGGGGAAAGACAAGCCAGUGUGCCAGGGAUGGAGCAAGUACUGCUCUGCAUCAGCUGCUCCUGGAGGAGAGGGGGAGAACAGCAGCAGUGGUGUUGUGGAUGGUGUGGAAACCAACUUCAGCUCAGGACUUGCAAUGGCUGCUUUCCUGAAGGUUAGAACAAAUGUACGGAAAAGGUAUUUGGAGUUAAGACUUGCCUUAAAAAAAAAAAAACACAGGAAAGCUAAAGCAAGUAUGAAAAUAAAUUAGAAAUGAGGGGCAGAUAAAAGCAGAACCUGCAGGAAUCAAAUCUAAACAAAAAGCAGGGGCUGGGCCGUCCAGUGAGAAAGCCACAAAUGGCAGGGGUUGAAAUGUAAAACCUACAGGCCACUGAGAAACAUGAAAGAUGCUGUUGUGUUCCACACCUCCUUUUCCCGGGUGUAGCUGUCUCCAUACAGUGAAGGGCAGUAAUGAAUCAAGCUCCUUUCCUCUCCUCCUGUGUUUUCUAUUCAAUUAUUCACAGGCUGUGCCAGUUCUGCUUUAUUUCUCCCCUCCAUAUGCUGCACUCUCCUCCUGGGGUUUUCUAUUCUGAGCUAUGCCUUUGGCCUCUCUCCCAUUUCUUUCUCCUCAGCAUGUGCCCCCUGCUCUGCUAUGAUCUGCUGCCUUUGUAACCUCUGCUGUGCACAUAUGCUGGCUCUCCCUCCUUUCCUUGGCUCCUGGUCCGUCGAGUGUCCCUUCGCUUCACACUGAUGUUUUUGCCAGGGGGUCAGCAGCCUGCCAGCAAAGAAACAAUUCUGCUAUGGCCACUGCUUGUGCUUUCACGCUGCCAG